This is a long non-coding RNA of Cynoglossus semilaevis (tongue sole), 1520 nucleotides long. RefSeq lists it as uncharacterized. The transcript has 7 exons. The record is from RefSeq and is a predicted model, not a curated record. Lineage: Eukaryota; Metazoa; Chordata; Actinopteri; Pleuronectiformes; Cynoglossidae.
AUAAUAUUCCAUGAAUACGGCUGGACUUUAGCAUUAGCAUCGACAGCGACAGAAACUUGUUAGAACCGGAUAAUCUGUACAACCGUUUUUGGAAGCUCCGAGGACGGAAUUUGUUUCCAGAUAAUCAGAAGUUUUGCUUCGUCUUCUUGCUGCGGGCCGGGGCCCCUCUUCCUCGUUCCUCCUCUCCAUCAGGAAAUCAUGUUAUCGCCGCAGAGGUUUCCCUUCAGCCCAGGAUUGCGUGAUUUCAGUCUUGUCGAGGAGGCAGCAGAAAGAGGUCAAACGUGUAUCGGGACACGGCAAGUGACGGCACUGGGGACCGCAGCGCACUUCCAGGAAAGAGACAACUUCCUCCAGGGAUCGGAUUUUUAAAGGCCAGACGUGUCUUUGCAAAUCCACACUCCAGGGCAGAUCACAGUGAAGUGAGUGAGUACUUCGUUCAUAUCCUGUGUUUGUAGUAAAAUGACUUCUCUGCAGAAUCUAACGCCACAGUCCAAACAGUCACGUGUUGCCAACAGUGUGAAAGUAGGCCAGAGUACCGGAGUGUGUGUGAACGCACCGCCACUCGCUCACUCACUCGCUCACUCCGUCACUCGGCCGCCAUCAGAGGAAGAAGAGAACUGGAGAACAUCUGUGCUGUGAGAGAGGGACAGUGACUGGUUCUGGGUUCUACAAGAACAGACAGACGGACAGACCUCCCAGAGGACUCUGUUCCUGAUGAAGCAGUGACAGCUACCAAACUGUUUACGUCCUGGCUUCAGUACAAGAUCACACCGGGGCUGACGGUCGGUCCACGGAGAACCAGCUGCAGGGACCGGGAGGAGCCUUACAUCCGACACCGGUCCGUGUGCGCCUCUCAGACGGACCUGAUUAAUGAGGUUGUGUCUGCGCUGCCGCCGCCGCCGCCGCUGCUGCUGCUGAUUCCUGCGGGUGAAGGAUGGAUCUCUCCUCCCGCCGUCCAGCAGUUGUCUGCGGGCAGGAGCCAAUGUAAGGAGCGGGAGCAGGGAGUUGGAGGAGGUUGUGGAGGAUCGCCGUCUCCUUUUUUUUUUUUUUUUUUUUUUUUUUUUUUUUUUUCUUUUUUGUCUGACCCUGGUUACACCUCCUCCAGAUGAAGUCGGCCGUGGAUGUCGGAGGAGACAUGAACUGUGGAAACAGACUCUUCCUCGUUUCACUUUUUCUUGGAAUUGUCCUCACGCGCUUCAGCCUGUGCAACCAAGGUGAGACAGAUCCACUCAGAGUGAUGAUGAUGAUGAUGAUGAUGAUGGUGGUGGUGGUGAUGAUGCACUGCAGUAUUUUGUGAUGUAAAAACAACAAGUUCAGACUCGAACAGCGGUUUGUUUAUUUAUUUAUUUAUUUAUUUCAUUGGUUGCCAUUUAAACAAAUCUCAGCCAGGUAACCAGUCGUGUCCUGGUGGUGGGAUGCUCCGCUGGUGUUUGGCUUCCUUUAACAAAGGAGAAUGCAGACUGUAGCAGUCGGUCUGUCGAGUAAACAGAAGUGAGUGGAUGAAUUUGGCACUUUAAAAA